UGGGUCAGGUUGAACGAGUGCAUGAUAGCA
RNAcentral lists this non-coding RNA (30 nucleotides) under Homo sapiens (human). Lineage: Eukaryota; Metazoa; Chordata; Mammalia; Primates; Hominidae. The record is from RNAcentral.